RNAcentral lists this ribosomal RNA (142 nucleotides) under uncultured eukaryote. Its description in RNAcentral is "partial 18S ribosomal RNA". It matches the Rfam family "Eukaryotic small subunit ribosomal RNA", at positions 1299 to 1458 of the family's 1831-position model. The record is from RNAcentral.
UGGUGGAGUGAUUUGUCUGGUUAAUUCCGUUAACGAACGAGACCUCGACCUGCUAAAUAGUACGAGUUAUUCAUUGGAUAAUCUUGGCACUUCUUAGAGGGACUAUCGGUGGUGUACCCGAUGGAAGUUCGAGGCAAUAACA